Molecule: ribosomal RNA, 427 nt
Filed under: uncultured bacterium
Lineage: Bacteria
Description: bacterial SSU rRNA
Rfam family: Bacterial small subunit ribosomal RNA
Source: RNAcentral
UAGGGAAUAUUGGACAAUGGGGGCAACCCUGAUCCAGCCAUGCCGCGUGAGUGAAGAAGGCCCUCGGGUUGUAAAGCUCUUUUGUCCGGAAAGAAAAGCAUUCGGUGAAUACCCGGAUGUUCUGACGGUACCGGAAGAAUAAGCACCGGCUAACUUCGUGCCAGCAGCCGCGGUAAUACGAAGGGUGCAAGCGUUACUCGGAAUUACUGGGCGUAAAGCGCGCGUAGGUGGUUGUUUAAGUCUGAUGUGAAAGCCCUGGGCUCAACCUGGGAAUGGCAUUGGAAACUGGGCAGCUAGAGUGCGGUAGAGGGUAGUGGAAUUCCCGGUGUAGCAGUGAAAUGCGUAGAGAUCGGGAGGAACAUCUGUGGCGAAGGCGACUGCCUGGACCAGCACUGACACUGAGGCACGAAAGCGUGGGGAGCAAACA